GCGGACGGUGGCUGGCGAAACACAGCCAGAGGUGGAAGUGUGCCUUCGGCUCUGGAAUGCCACCGAAGGGAAUUUCUCUGUGGAAACGACGCCCGACACUUACCAGGCCAACACAACCUACGUGGUGACCAUAAAGGACGGCAGAAACCACAGCAACAGCUCGGGCCAUUACCUGCUGCAGGCCCUGUCCCCACAGAACACCUCGGUGGGGCGGUGGCCGGCGGCACCCACAGAGAGCUGCAGCUCUCUGGACACUGCGGUGUUGAAGAUCCCCGAGAACAGAACCCUCUGGGCGUCCCCAGUCAGCAGCCUGAGCUCUGUGCAAAUAAGGGUCUAUCUCAUCCUCCCUGGUAACACCACCGAGUUCCAGACCUUCUUGCUGAACAGAGG
This is a long non-coding RNA of Hirundo rustica (Barn swallow), 390 nucleotides long. RefSeq lists it as uncharacterized. The transcript is spliced from 3 exons. The record is from RefSeq and is a predicted model, not a curated record. NCBI's taxonomy places the organism in Eukaryota, Metazoa, Chordata, Aves, Passeriformes, Hirundinidae.